GACGAACGCUGGUGGCGUGCUUAACACAUGCAAGUCGAACGGGAUUUAGUAAACAGAAGCCUCGGUGGAAGAUUACUAAUGAGAGUGGCGAACGGGUGAGUAACGCGUGAGCAACCUGCCUAUGACAGUGGGAUAGCCUCGGGAAACCGGGAUUAAUACCGCAUAAAAUCGUAGAAACACAUGUUUUAACGGUCAAAGAUUUAUCGGUCAUAGAUGGGCUCGCGUCUGAUUAGCUAGUUGGUGAGAUAACAGCCCACCAAGGCGACGAUCAGUAGCCGGUCUGAGAGGAUGAACGGCCACAUUGGAACUGAGACACGGUCCAAACUCCUACGGGAGGCAGCAGUGGGGAAUAUUGCACAAUGGGGGAAACCCUGAUGCAGCGACGCCGCGUGAACGAAGAAGGUAUUCGUAUCGUAAAGUUCUGUCCUAUGGGAAGAUAAUGACAGCACCAUAGAAGAAAGCUCCGGCUAAAUACGUG
RNAcentral lists this ribosomal RNA (478 nucleotides) under uncultured bacterium. RNAcentral describes it as "partial 16S ribosomal RNA". It matches the Rfam family "Bacterial small subunit ribosomal RNA", at positions 28 to 507 of the family's 1533-position model. The record is from RNAcentral.